This is a long non-coding RNA of Perognathus longimembris pacificus (Pacific pocket mouse), 127 nucleotides long. RefSeq lists it as uncharacterized. NCBI's taxonomy places the organism in Eukaryota, Metazoa, Chordata, Mammalia, Rodentia, Heteromyidae. The transcript is spliced from 2 exons. The record is from RefSeq and is a predicted model, not a curated record.
GGGUUUCCCUUUCUUUCGAGACGACGGGCUCGUCAGGGGCCUGCUCCGUGGAGGAUGCGAGUUUGCGGUCUUCAGUGCAUGUUCAACCCCUCUCCACCUCCGAAUCUCAAUAAAGCGGCUUGACCCC